RNAcentral lists this ribosomal RNA (158 nucleotides) under uncultured bacterium. RNAcentral describes it as "partial 16S ribosomal RNA". It matches the Rfam family "Bacterial small subunit ribosomal RNA", at positions 355 to 509 of the family's 1533-position model. The record is from RNAcentral.
UGAGGAAUAUUGGUCAAUGGGCGGGAGCCUGAACCAGCCAAGCCGCGUGAGGGAGGAAGGCCCUACGGGGUCGUAAACCUCUUUUGCCGGGGAACAAAAGCGGGUAUGCAUACCCGUCUGAGUGUACCCGGAGAAAAAGCAUCGGCUAACUCCGUGCC